RNAcentral lists this ribosomal RNA (576 nucleotides) under uncultured eukaryote. RNAcentral's name for it is "SSU rRNA". It matches the Rfam family "Eukaryotic small subunit ribosomal RNA", at positions 203 to 784 of the family's 1831-position model. The record is from RNAcentral.
UAUUUAUUAGAUAAAAAACCAAUGCCCUCCGGGGCUCCUUGGUGAAUCAUAAUAACUUGACGAAUCGCAUGGCCUUGUGCCGGCGAUGGUUCAUUCAAAUUUCUGCCCUAUCAACUUUCGAUGGUAGGAUAGUGGCCUACCAUGGUUUCAACGGGUAACGGGGAAUUAGGGUUCGACUCCGGAGAGGGAGCCUGAGAAACGGCUACCACAUCCAAGGAAGGCAGCAGGCGCGCAAAUUACCCAAUCCCGACACGGGGAGGUAGUGACAAUAAAUACUGAUACAGGGCUCUUUCGGGUCUUGUAAUUGGAAUGAGUACAAUUUAAAUCCCUUAACGAGGAACAAUUGGAGGGCAAGUCUGGUGCCAGCAGCCGCGGUAAUUCCAGCUCCAAUAGCGUAUAUUAAAGUUGUUGCAGUUAAAAAGCUCGUAGUUGAACCUUGGGCCUGGCUGGCCGGUCCGCCUCACCGCGUGUACUGGUCCGGCCGGGCCUUUCCUUCUGGGGAGCCGCAUGGCCUUCACUGGCCGUGUCGGGGAACCAGGACUUUUACUUUGAAAAAAUUAGAGUGUUCAAAGCAGG